RNAcentral lists this transfer RNA (72 nucleotides) under Bacteroidota bacterium. RNAcentral's name for it is "Bacteroidetes bacterium tRNA-Arg". It matches the Rfam family "tRNA". From Rfam's summary of the family: Transfer RNA (tRNA) molecules are approximately 80 nucleotides in length. RNAcentral also lists the same sequence under 3 other names. The record is from RNAcentral. Lineage: Bacteria; Pseudomonadati; Bacteroidota.
GGCUGCAUAGUUCAAUGGAUAGAAUAUCGGAUUUCGGCUCCGAGGAUGAGGGUUCGAAUCCUUCUGCGGCUA